This 544-nucleotide ribosomal RNA is filed under the name Mycena pura. Its description in RNAcentral is "eukaryotic LSU rRNA". It matches the Rfam family "Eukaryotic large subunit ribosomal RNA", at positions 77 to 621 of the family's 3401-position model. The record is from RNAcentral. Lineage: Eukaryota; Fungi; Basidiomycota; Agaricomycetes; Agaricales; Mycenaceae.
CCCCUAGUAACUGCGAGUGAAGCGGGAAAAGCUCAAAUUUAAAAUCUGGCGGCUCCGCCGUCCGAGUUGUAAUUUAGAGAAGUGUUAUCCGCGCUGGACCGUGUACAAGUCUCCUGGAAUGGAGCGUCAUAGAGGGUGAGAAUCCCGUCUUUGACACGGACUGCCAGGGCAUUGUGAUGCGCUCUCGAAGAGUCGAGUUGUUUGGGAUUGCAGCUCAAAAUGGGUGGUAAAUUCCAUCUAAAGCUAAAUAUUGGGGAGAGACCGAUAGCGAACAAGUACCGUGAGGGAAAGAUGAAAAGAACUUUGGAAAGAGAGUUAAACAGUACGUGAAAUUGCUGAAAGGGAAACGCUUGAAGUCAGUCGCGUUGUUCGGGAUUCAGCUUUAGCUUCUGCUAGGUGGAUUUCCUGUUCGACGGGUCAGCAUCAGUUUUGGCCAGUGGAUAAAGGUUCAGAGAAUGUGGCAUCCUCGGAUGUGUUAUAGCUCUGGGUCGCAUACAUUGGCUGGGACUGAGGAACUCAGCACGCCGCAAGGCCAGGUUCGACC